This 385-nucleotide ribosomal RNA is filed under the name uncultured bacterium. RNAcentral's name for it is "bacterial SSU rRNA". It matches the Rfam family "Bacterial small subunit ribosomal RNA", at positions 355 to 733 of the family's 1533-position model. The record is from RNAcentral.
UGGGGAAUUUUGGACAAUGGGCGCAAGCCUGAUCCAGCAAUGCCGCGUGAGUGAAGAAGGCCUUCGGGUUGUAAAGCUCUUUUGUCAGGGAAGAAACGGUGUUCUCUAAUACAGAGCGCUAAUGACGGUACCUGAAGAAUAAGCACCGGCUAACUACGUGCCAGCAGCCGCGGUAUACGUAGGGUGCAAGCGUUAAUCGGAGUUACUGGGCGUAAAGCGUGCGCAGGCGGUUUUGUAAGACUGUCGUGAAAUCCCCGGGCUCAACCUGGGAAUGGCGAUGGUGACUGCAAGGCUAGAGUUUGGCAGAGGGGGGUAGAAUUCCACGCGUAGCAGUGAAAUGCGUAGAUAUGUGGAGGAACACCGAUGGCGAAGGCAGCCCCCUGGG